This 497-nucleotide ribosomal RNA is filed under the name uncultured bacterium. RNAcentral describes it as "bacterial SSU rRNA". It matches the Rfam family "Bacterial small subunit ribosomal RNA", at positions 28 to 509 of the family's 1533-position model. The record is from RNAcentral.
GAUGAACGCUAGCGGCAGGCUUAAUACAUGCAAGUUGAGGGGCAGCAUGAUAUACGCGAGUAUAUUGAUGGCGACCGGCGGACGGGUGAGUAAUAGGUAGGAGACCUACCUCAUACAGGGGGAUAGCAUAGAGAAAUCUGUGGUAAUACCCCAUGAGGUUAUAUGAAUAGAGGCAUAUAAUCAAAGCAUAAGCGAUUAUGCGGUAUGAGAGGGGCCUACUGACCAUUAGCUAGUUGGUGAGGUAAGGGCUCACCAAGGCGAAGAUGGUUAGGGGUUUUGAGAGAGAGACCCCCCACAUUGGAACUGAGAGACGGUCCAGACUCCUACGGGAGGCAGCAGUAGGGAAUAUUGGGCAAUGGGCGAAAGCCUGACCCAGCCAUGCCGCGUGAAGGAAGACGGCCUUAUGGGUUGUAAACUUCUUUACUACGCGAAUAGAGGUUAGUACGAGAUACUAAUAGGAAGGUAGUGUAGUAAAAGCGACCGGCUAACUCCGUGCC